GAACGCUGGCAGCGUGCAUAACACAUGCAAGUCGAACGGAAACGAUACUAGCUUGCUAGUAGGCGUCGAGUGGCGGACGGGUGAGUAACGCGUAGGAAUCUGCCUGAUAGUGGGGGAUAGCCCGAAGAAAUUCGGAUUAAUACCGCAUAAUCUAUUCGUAGUAAAGUGGGGGACUUUCGAGCCUCACGCUAUCAGAUGAGCCUGCGUAAGAUUAGCUUGUUGGUAGGGUAAAAGCCUACCAAGGCGACGAUCUUUAGCUGGUCUGAGAGGAUGAUCAGCCACAUCGGGACUGAGACACGGCCCGAACUCCUACGGGAGGCAGCAGUGGGGAAUAUUGGACAAUGGGGGCAACCCUGAUCCAGCAAUACCGCGUGUGUGAAGAAGGCCUGAGGGUUGUAAAGCACUUUCAAUUGGAAGAAAAGUUAGCGGUUAAUAACCGUUAGCCUUGACGUUAACUUAGAAGAAGCACCGG
This 472-nucleotide ribosomal RNA is filed under the name uncultured bacterium. RNAcentral describes it as "bacterial SSU rRNA". It matches the Rfam family "Bacterial small subunit ribosomal RNA", at positions 31 to 496 of the family's 1533-position model. The record is from RNAcentral.